RNAcentral lists this ribosomal RNA (1384 nucleotides) under Salmonella enterica. RNAcentral describes it as "partial 23S ribosomal RNA". It matches the Rfam family "Bacterial large subunit ribosomal RNA", at positions 1568 to 2925 of the family's 2925-position model. RNAcentral also lists the same sequence under 1 other name. Lineage: Bacteria; Pseudomonadati; Pseudomonadota; Gammaproteobacteria; Enterobacterales; Enterobacteriaceae. The record is from RNAcentral.
GACGAGGCACUACGGUGCUGAAGCAACAAAUGCCCUGCUUCCAGGAAAAGCCUCUAAGCAUCAGGUAACAUCAAAUCGUACCCCAAACCGACACAGGUGGUCAGGUAGAGAAUACCAAGGCGCUUGAGAGAACUCGGGUGAAGGAACUAGGCAAAAUGGUGCCGUAACUUCGGGAGAAGGCACGCUGACACGUAGGUGAAGUGAUUUACUCAUGGAGCUGAAGUCAGUCGAAGAUACCAGCUGGCUGCAACUGUUUAUUAAAAACACAGCACUGUGCAAACACGAAAGUGGACGUAUACGGUGUGACGCCUGCCCGGUGCCGGAAGGUUAAUUGAUGGGGUCAGCGCAAGCGAAGCUCCUGAUCGAAGCCCCGGUAAACGGCGGCCGUAACUAUAACGGUCCUAAGGUAGCGAAAUUCCUUGUCGGGUAAGUUCCGACCUGCACGAAUGGCGUAAUGAUGGCCAGGCUGUCUCCACCCGAGACUCAGUGAAAUUGAACUCGCUGUGAAGAUGCAGUGUACCCGCGGCAAGACGGAAAGACCCCGUGAACCUUUACUAUAGCUUGACACUGAACAUUGAGCCUUGAUGUGUAGGAUAGGUGGGAGGCUUUGAAGUGUGGACGCCAGUCUGCAUGGAGCCGACCUUGAAAUACCACCCUUUAAUGUUUGAUGUUCUAACGUGGACCCGUUACCCGGGUUGCGGACAGUGUCUGGUGGGUAGUUUGACUGGGGCGGUCUCCUCCUAAAGAGUAACGGAGGAGCACGAAGGUUGGCUAAUCCUGGUCGGACAUCAGGAGGUUAGUGCAAUGGCAUAAGCCAGCUUGACUGCGAGCGUGACGGCGCGAGCAGGUGCGAAAGCAGGUCAUAGUGAUCCGGUGGUUCUGAAUGGAAGGGCCAUCGCUCAACGGAUAAAAGGUACUCCGGGGAUAACAGGCUGAUACCGCCCAAGAGUUCAUAUCGACGGCGGUGUUUGGCACCUCGAUGUCGGCUCAUCACAUCCUGGGGCUGAAGUAGGUCCCAAGGGUAUGGCUGUUCGCCAUUUAAAGUGGUACGCGAGCUGGGUUUAGAACGUCGUGAGACAGUUCGGUCCCUAUCUGCCGUGGGCGCUGGAGAACUGAGGGGGGCUGCUCCUAGUACGAGAGGACCGGAGUGGACGCAUCACUGGUGUUCGGGUUGUCAUGCCAAUGGCACUGCCCGGUAGCUAAAUGCGGAAGAGAUAAGUGCUGAAAGCAUCUAAGCACGAAACUUGCCCCGAGAUGAGUUCUCCCUGAGACUUAGAGUCUCCUGAAGGAACGUUGAAGACGACGACGUUGAUAGGCCGGGUGUGUAAGCGCAGCGAUGCGUUGAGCUAACCGGUACUAAUGAACCGUGAGGCUUAACCUUACA